AACGCAGCGAAAUGCGAUAAGUAGUGUGAAUUGCAGAAUUCAGUGAAUCAUCGAAUCUUUGAACGCACAUUGCGCCCUUUGGUAUUCCUUAGGGCAUGCCUGUUCGAGCGUCAUCUAACCCCUCAAGCACCGCUUGGUGUUGGGCGCUUGUCCCCGCCCCCGCGCGCGGACUCGCCUCGAAGACAUUGGCGGCCUGUGUAUUGGCUACGAGCGCAGCAGACCCGCGCCUCGUCCCCUCUCCGCGCAGGCGCCCACGAAGCGCAACCCCCCCAAUUUUGACCUCGGAUCAGGUAGGGAUACCCGCUGAACUUAAGCAUAUCAAUAAGCGGAGGAAAAGAAACCAACAGGGAUUGCCCCAGUAACGGCGAGUGAAGCGGCAACAGCUCAAAUUUGAAAUCUGGCUCCCUUGGGCGCCCGAGUUGUAAUUUGCAGAGGGUGCUUUGGCGUCGGCAGCGGCCUAAGUUCCUUGGAACAGGGCGUCACAGAGGGUGAGAACCCCGUACGUGGCCGCCCGCCUUCGCCGUGUAAAGCCCCUUCGACGAGUCGAGUUGUUUGGGAAUGCAGC
This 565-nucleotide ribosomal RNA is filed under the name Dothideomycetes sp. genotype 383. RNAcentral describes it as "eukaryotic LSU rRNA". The stretch from base 277 to 565 matches the Rfam family "Eukaryotic large subunit ribosomal RNA", at positions 1 to 286 of the family's 3401-position model. The record is from RNAcentral. Lineage: Eukaryota; Fungi; Ascomycota; Dothideomycetes.